Molecule: ribosomal RNA, 257 nt
Filed under: uncultured prokaryote
Description: partial 16S ribosomal RNA
Rfam family: Bacterial small subunit ribosomal RNA
Source: RNAcentral
UAAUACGUAGGGUGCGAGCGUUGUCCGGAAUUACUGGGCGUAAAGGGCUCGUAGGUGGUUUGUCGCGUCGUCUGUGAAAUUCUGGGGCUUAACUCCGGGCGUGCAGGCGAUACGGGCAUAACUUGAGUGCUGUAGGGGUAACUGGAAUUCCUGGUGUAGCGGUGAAAUGCGCAGAUAUCAGGAGGAACACCGAUGGCGAAGGCAGGUUACUGGGCAGUUACUGACGCUGAGGAGCGAAAGCAUGGGUAGCGAACAGG